GGCGCAAGGUCUGUGGUGGGAAAGAUUUUUCGGUUGGGGAUGGGCUCGCGGCCUAUCAGCUUGUUGGUGAGGUAGUGGCUCACCAAGGCGUCGACGGGUAGCCGGCCUGAGAGGGUGACCGGCCACACUGGGACUGAGACACGGCCCAGACUCCUACGGGAGGCAGCAGUGGGGAAUAUUGCACAAUGGGCGGAAGCCUGAUGCAGCAACGCCGCGUGAGGGAUGACGGCCUUCGGGUUGUAAACCUCUUUUAGCAGGGAAGAAGCGUAAGUGACGGUACCUGCAGAAAAAGCGCCGGCUAACUACGUGCCAGCAGCCGCGGUAAUACGUAGGGCGCAAGCGUUAUCCGGAAUUAUUGGGCGUAAAGAGCUCGUAGGCGGUUUGUCGCGUCUGCUGUGAAAACCCGAGGCUCAACCUCGGGCCUGCAGUGGGUACGGGCAGACUAGAGUGCGGUAGGGGAGAUUGGAAUUCCUGGUGUAGCGGUGGAAUGCGCAGAUAUCAGGAGGAACACCGAUGGCGAAGGCAGAUCUCUGGGCCGUUACUGACGCUGAGGAGCGAAAGGGUGGGGAGCAAACAGGCUUAGAUACCCUGGUAGUCCACCCCGUAAACGUUGGGAACUAGUUGUGGGGGCCUUUCCACGGUCUCCGUGACGCAGCUAACGCAUUAAGUUCCCCGCCUGGGGAGUACGGCCGCAAGGCUAAAACUCAAAGGAAUUGACGGGGACCCGCACAAGCGGCGGAGCAUGCGGAUUAAUUCGAUGCAACGCGAAGAACCUUACCAAGGCUUGACAUACACCGGAAACGUCUGGAAACAGUCGCCCCUUUUUGGUCGGUGUACAGGUGGUGCAUGGUUGUCGUCAGCUCGUGUCGUGAGAUGUUGGGUUAAGUCCCGCAACGAGCGCAACCCUCGUUCUAUGUUGCCAGCACGUUAUGGUGGGAACUCAUGGGAUACUGCCGGGGUCAACUCGGAGGAAGGUGGGGAUGACGUCAAAUCAUCAUGCCCCUUAUGUCUUGGGCUUCACGCAUGCUACAAUGGCCGGUACAAAGGGCUGCAAUACCGUGAGGUGGAGCGAAUCCCAAAAAGCCGGUCCCAGUUCGGAUUGAGGUAUGCAACUCGACCUUAUGAAUUCGG
RNAcentral lists this ribosomal RNA (1131 nucleotides) under Microbacterium barkeri. RNAcentral describes it as "bacterial SSU rRNA". It matches the Rfam family "Bacterial small subunit ribosomal RNA", at positions 185 to 1329 of the family's 1533-position model. Lineage: Bacteria; Bacillati; Actinomycetota; Actinomycetes; Micrococcales; Microbacteriaceae. The record is from RNAcentral.